GCCAGAAACACAUUGUCAUCUUUGCCUUGCGUCGCAUCCUUCGAGGUGAGGAGCUCACCUAUGACCACAAGUUUCCCAUCGAGGAUGCCAGCAACAAGCUGCCCUGCAACUGUGGCGCCAAGCGCUGCCGUCGCUUCCUUAACUGAGGCCAUGGCUGCCCCGGAUUCCUCACGUGCCCGCUGCCAUCUCACCCUGGCCUGUGGCUCCCUAUUCUCAGUAUCUCACUCCUACUUUCCUGUUCAUGGUGGAUUUGGGCAUGUAAUGGGGCAGGAGCCCUGCCUUCACCCCUCCUGCCCACCCAGCCAUUGCCUCCUUCCUCUUUCCCUGGGGACCCAGGAUGUAGAUAUUGUACAAAGGUUUCUAAAUCCCUUCUUUUCUAUGCACUUUUUUAUUUAAGAGGGCAGGGUCCCAGGUGGGAAUCCCCCCACAAUAAAGUCUGUCAACGUUUGGAAAAAAAAAAAAA
RNAcentral lists this long non-coding RNA (463 nucleotides) under Rattus norvegicus (Norway rat). RNAcentral describes it as "long non-coding RNA NONRATT030353". The record is from RNAcentral. Lineage: Eukaryota; Metazoa; Chordata; Mammalia; Rodentia; Muridae.